RNAcentral lists this ribosomal RNA (305 nucleotides) under uncultured bacterium. RNAcentral's name for it is "bacterial SSU rRNA". It matches the Rfam family "Bacterial small subunit ribosomal RNA", at positions 333 to 654 of the family's 1533-position model. The record is from RNAcentral.
UGCUCCCUACGGGACGCAGCAGUCGGGAAUAUUGCGCAAUGGAGGAAACUCUGACGCAGUGACGCCGCGUAUAGGAAGAAGGUUUUCGGAUUGUAAACUAUUGUCGUUAGGGAAGAUAAAAGACUGUACCUAAGGAGGAAGCCCCGGCUAACUCCGUGCCAGCAGCCGCGGUAAUACGGAGGGUGCAAGCGUUACUCGGAAUCACUGGGCGUAAAGAGCGCGUAGGCGGGAUAGCAAGCCAGAUGUGAAAUCCUAUGGCUUAACCAUAGAACUGCAUUUGAAACUGUUAUUCUAGAGUAUGGGAG